ACAAUGGAGAGUUUGAUCCUGGCUCAGGAUAAACGCUAGCGGCAGGCCUAACACAUGCAAGUCGAGGGGCAUCGGAUAGAGUACUUCGGUACUCUUGCCGGCGACCGGCGGACGGGUGCGUAACGCGUAUGCAACCUACCUUCAACAGGGGGAUAAUCCGAAGAAAUUUGGUCUAAUACCCCAUAAUAUUCCGACAGGCAUCUGUUGGAGUUGAAAGCUUCGGUGGUUGGAGAUGGGCAUGCGUUGUAUUAGCUAGAUGGUGAGGUAA
RNAcentral lists this ribosomal RNA (268 nucleotides) under Alistipes ihumii. Its description in RNAcentral is "partial 16S ribosomal RNA". It matches the Rfam family "Bacterial small subunit ribosomal RNA", at positions 1 to 260 of the family's 1533-position model. Lineage: Bacteria; Pseudomonadati; Bacteroidota; Bacteroidia; Bacteroidales; Rikenellaceae. The record is from RNAcentral.